RNAcentral lists this ribosomal RNA (425 nucleotides) under uncultured bacterium. RNAcentral describes it as "bacterial SSU rRNA". It matches the Rfam family "Bacterial small subunit ribosomal RNA", at positions 354 to 796 of the family's 1533-position model. The record is from RNAcentral.
GUGGGGAAUCUUGCACAAUGGGGGCAACCCUGAUGCAGCGACGCCGCGUGAGCGAUGAAGCCCUUCGGGGUGUAAAGCUCUUUCGGCAGGGACGAUAAUGACGGUACCUGAAGAAGAAGCUGCGGCUAACUACGUGCCAGCAGCCGCGGUAAUACGUAGGCAGCGAGCGUUGUUCGGAGUUACUGGGCGUAAAGAGUGCGUAGGCGGUGGCCCAAGUCUGGUGUGAAAUCUCCCGGCUUAACUGGGAGGGUGCGCCGGAAACUGGGUGACUUGAGUACCGGAGAGGCAAGCGGAAUUCCUGGUGUAGCGGUGAAAUGCGUAGAUAUCAGGAGGAACACCCGUGGUGUAGACGGCUUGCUGGACGGUCACUGACGCUGAGGCACGAAAGCGUGGGGAGCAAACAGGAUUAGAAACCCGGGUAGUCC